UUUUUUCUCAAAGAAGGGAAGAGAAAAACGUCAAAAUCGAGAUAGCUCUCGAUCUUGACAAUUGCGUGGUCUGCCUUCCAAACCCUUAAUGCUUACUUACAUUGUGACGUCCAACCGUUACAAAUAAUAUUCAUACAUAAUUUCACUCUCACCUGUUCCUCCGGCCAAAACACUCUCCCUCAACUUCUCCUCUAAAACGAUAGCUAGCUAGCUUUCUCUUAAGCUAGCCAUCUAGGUAUUAAUUAGGUCGUAGCGAUGGCCGUGAUGAUGGGGUUGGAGAGGCUGGUAGUGACUUUAAAAUCUAAAAUAAGGUCCUUGAAGACGAAGAAACUUUAUGAUAAAAUCGAAAAGAGCGAGAGCAUGAGAUUUGAGAUAAGAAGCAGGAAGGCUCGAAAGCUUAUUGAAAAGACCUUGAAAACCGCCGAUUCGCCUAAGAGGCUGAGACCAUGAUCAAGACAACUACUAUACUUCAGCAGCUGCGUAGCUGGUGUACGUACGUUUCUGAUCAUCAUCCAAUGCUUGAAACAACAAGCAUAUAUGCUAGCUGGUUAAUUAAUUCGUAGUACUUUUUUUUAUGUACGUUAGCCAUUGCGCAUGGUUUAUAACUUUAUACGAUCGAGAUGCAGAGGAUUCCCCUCCGGCCUGAUCCCCUCUCUCUGUCUCUCAUCAGUACUGUGUCUUCUGCGAGUAAUUAAUUACUAAUUAAUUUAUGCGUAAA
This is a long non-coding RNA of Carya illinoinensis, 718 nucleotides long. RefSeq lists it as uncharacterized. The record is from RefSeq and is a predicted model, not a curated record. Lineage: Eukaryota; Viridiplantae; Streptophyta; Magnoliopsida; Fagales; Juglandaceae. The transcript has 2 exons.